This 402-nucleotide ribosomal RNA is filed under the name Triticum aestivum (bread wheat). Its description in RNAcentral is "partial small subunit ribosomal RNA". Lineage: Eukaryota; Viridiplantae; Streptophyta; Magnoliopsida; Poales; Poaceae. The record is from RNAcentral.
AUGGUACCAGUUCAUAUUUGGUUACCCGAAGCCCAUGUAGAGGCACCUACGGCUGGAUCCGUCAUCUUGGCUGGAAUUCUUUUAAGAUUGGGAACCUACGGGUUUUUAAGAUUUUCCAUACCCAUGUUUGCCGAGGCGACACUUUGUUUCACUCCUUUCAUUUAUACUCUAAGCGCGAUUGCUAUAAUAUAUACUUCCUUGACCACUUUAAGACAGAUCGAUCUUAAGAAGAUCAUUGCCUACUCCUCAGUAGCCCAUAUGAAUUUGGUGACUAUUGGUAUGUUUAGUCGGGCGGCGGCCGUUAGGUCACCUAUUUUGAGUUAUGGACACACAAGCAAGGCCAAAACAUGUGUGCCGGGCGUGCGACCCAUCAACCUACUAGCAAUAGGGGAGAAAACUUAG